Molecule: ribosomal RNA, 425 nt
Filed under: uncultured bacterium
Lineage: Bacteria
Description: partial 16S ribosomal RNA
Rfam family: Bacterial small subunit ribosomal RNA
Source: RNAcentral
GUGGGGAAUCUUGCGCAAUGGGCGAAAGCCUGACGCAGCCAUGCCGCGUCAAUGAUGAAGGUCUUAGGAUUGUAAAAUUCUUUCACCGGGGACGAUAAUGACGGUACCCGGAGAAGAAGCUCCGGCUAACUUCGUGCCAGCAGCCGCGGUAAUACGAAGGGGGCUAGCGUUGCCCGGAAUUACUGGGCGUAAAGGGCGCGUAGGCGGACAGCUUAGUCAGAGGUGAAAGCCCAGGGCUCAACCUUGGAAUUGCCUUUGAUACUGGCUGUGUUGAGUUUGGGAGAGGUGAGUGGAACUCCGAGUGUAGAGGUGAAAUUCGUAGAUAUUCGGAAGAACACCAGUGGCGAAGGCGACUCACUGGCCCAAUACUGACGCUGAGGCGCGAAAGCGUGGGGAGCAAACAGGAUUAGAUACCCCGGUAGUCC